AGCAAGUAACUGAGUUCUUCCACAGUGGCUCUUGACCGCAAGUUGGUGACACACACAGUGGCUACUUCUGCCCAGCCAGGAGCCACAGGAUUAAAUGAAGGUGAAGGAGACCCCUGGUUGGAGAAAUCCCAGAAAGCCACUACCCACAACCAACCAGCUACUGUAUCCCACCCAGAGAAGAGGAUCCAGCCCACCCAGAAGGCGCCAGAGAGUCAGAUCAACCCUGUCCAGCCAGGUAAGGACUCAACAUGAUCACUCCAUGAUUAGUCUCUCAUUCAUCGAUGUUAAUACGGUUCAAAGUUUUAUGUAAUGCUUGAAGACCAUCAGGAAAAUGUGCUCCAAAGACAAAAUGAUGAAAAUUGAAAUGAAGAAUUUGGCCGAACAAA
This 386-nucleotide long non-coding RNA is filed under the name Rattus norvegicus (Norway rat). RNAcentral's name for it is "long non-coding RNA NONRATT000005". Lineage: Eukaryota; Metazoa; Chordata; Mammalia; Rodentia; Muridae. The record is from RNAcentral.